UAGAAACCUCUGCGCCUCUGACAUUGUGAGUGUUUUAAGUAGAAAUAAGAGAUGGCAGAGAGCAGAUUAAGAUUGGCAUUUCAUAUCUCGUUAGUGUUGAUGGCAGUUAUGUUGAAGGUGAAGGGAGAUCCCACUUGCAGUCCGGCUGGGAACUUCUGGUGCAACAGUGGACGGUGCUGCAGCAUAUAUAACUGGUGUGGUAGUACAUCAGAUUAUUGUGCAUCUGGAAACUGCCUUGCUCAGUGCUGGCCUAAUGCUGUUGCACUUAAUCAGUCUAGUUUGAAUGUAUCCCGACAGAACCUCACCUCUUAAUCAGUUAGUUUGAAUGUAUCCCGACAGAACCUCACCUCUGCCUCUCCAUAGCAACCCAUGACUGUUAUCUGGCUGCGUGCGGGGAAUUUAACUAUUAGAAAAUCUAAUAGCUUAUUAGAAUUGGUUAAUGGCUUAUUAAAUGAGUGGAGUUAUAUCAAGGAUUUCCAGCAUUAUGUAGUUGCAGUUAUGUUAAGAGGAUUUGUUUGCAAAAUAAUGGUUACAAGGUUGAGUUGUAAUAUGUGUUAUUUUAUGCACACAGUGUGUUCUUCUAUAUUGUGUACGUGAAACCUUAGAUCUGUCUAGAAAUGCACUAUAAGAUCAUCUUUCUUUUUCA
Long non-coding RNA from Cryptomeria japonica (Japanese cedar), 646 nucleotides. RefSeq lists it as uncharacterized. The record is from RefSeq and is a predicted model, not a curated record. The transcript is spliced from 2 exons. NCBI's taxonomy places the organism in Eukaryota, Viridiplantae, Streptophyta, Pinopsida, Cupressales, Cupressaceae.